GUCACGGGUCGAGACUCAAGCUCCGAACCCGCGCGGCUCCGGGACCCGGGCAUUCACCCUUCCGGCGUCCCAGAUCAGCCUUUCGCCACGGUUCACACCCUUGUGAGGUAUUGUCCGCUCUGGCCCCCCUGACCUCACGGUUUUGUCCUACAAAAGGCGCCUCACAAGGCGGAGAUGGUGUGAACCCUUUUAUACCCCAG
Molecule: long non-coding RNA, 200 nt
Filed under: Durio zibethinus
Lineage: Eukaryota; Viridiplantae; Streptophyta; Magnoliopsida; Malvales; Malvaceae
Description: long non-coding RNA (DZIB_LNC001246)
Source: RNAcentral